CCCCACUCCUGAACCCCUGCCACCAUGGCCAAUGCUCUAGUUCUACAUCUUGGUUAUGUCUUUGAUAAUAAAUGAUGAUUUGGACAUCAGUUUCUCAUCUAUAAAAGUGAAAGGAUUUCAUAAGAUGAACAAAGUUGACCAAAAAAGGAAAGAGGAUGUUAUCAGGGCUAAGGAAAAAACAGCCUUGAUCUGAUCCUGCCAUUCUGGAAAACAAUUUGAAGCCAUGCCUCCAAAGCUAUGAAACUAUACAUGCCCUUUGAUCCAGCAAUGUUGCUACUAAGUCUAUACUUCCCUCUACCCCCGCCACAAACAAACAAACAAAAAUCAAAGAAAUUGGAAAAGGACCCACAAGUACAAAAAAUGUGUUUAGAAGCUCUUUUUUGUGGUAGUAAAAAUUGGGAAAUGAUUGAACAAGUUAUGGAAUAUCGAUGUGAAGGAAUAUUAUUAUGGUAUAAGAAACAAUUAAGGGGAAGAUUUCAGAGAAAUCUGUGAAGCCUUUCAUGAACAGAUACAAAGUAAAGUUUGCAGAACCAGGAGAACAUUUUAUUCAAAGGAAACAACAUGUAACCUUGAAGGACUUAGGAACUCUGAUCAACAAUAUGUCUGAACACCCCAACCCCAGAAGCUCCUCCUGUAAAAUGUUCCCCAUCCAUCAAAGUGUAGCCCCAUGGUUAAUGUAGUGUAGAAAAUCUUGACCAACAAAUUAGACUACUCUUAGCCUUGAACAUUAUUGGAAAUUAAGUCCUCACACAAUUUCUGGUAGGAAGGGAAGAGAAUAGAAGGGAAGGCCCUUAACUCAUUCUUCCUUAACUCAUGUCAUGCCACAUACCUUGUGUGAGGAUUGUUUCAAUGUUUUCUAAGAGUAGAUUAAGGGAGAAACAGUUGGACCAAUUUCCGCAUUUUGACCUUUAUGUACCAGGGAGCACAUGAUAUCUUCCACUACAUAUUCUGACUGGGCGAGCCUGAUCCUAGAUUUGGGCUCCUUCUUUUGUGUUCUUUUUCUUUUUCUUUCUUUCUUUCUUUCUUUCUUUCUUUCUUUCUUUCUUUCUUUCUUUCUUUCUUUCUUUCUUUCUUUCUUUCUUUCUUUCUUCCUUCCUUCCUUCCUUCCUUCCUUCUCUUUCUUUCUUUCUUUCUUUCUUUCUUCCUUUCUUCCUUCCUUCCUUCCUUCCUUCCUUCCUCUUUCUUUCUUUCUUUCUUUCUUUCUUUCUUUCUUUCUUCCUUCCUUCCUUCCUUCCUUCCUUCCUUCCUUCCUUCCUUUCUCUCUCUCUCUUUCUUUCUUGCUUAACUUUAUUUGCCUCAAUUUCCUCAUCUGUAAAAUGAGCUGGAGAAGGAAAUGGCAAACCACUACAAUAUCUUUGCCAAGAAAACCCCAAACAAUGCCACAAAGAGUCCAACAUGACUGAAGUAACUCAACAACAAUACCCAAACAGCACUAUUUCAGGGGAAGGAGGAAAGGGGGAGGCAGAGGAGAGAGACAGAGAGACAGAGAGAAAGAGAAAAAAACAGAGAGAGAGACAGAGACAGAGAGAGAGAGAGAGACAGAGAGAGAGAGAGAAAGAGAGAGAGAUUCUUCCCUUGUAGGGUAGAGAGGCUGGAAGCUAGAAAAGUAUCACUUCUCAAAAUUUGCUUGGAGGUACUUAAUAUUAACUAAUGCUCUUGGGAGUGCCUUAAUAACAGGGACUGUCUUUUAUCUUUCUUUGUAGCAUUUAUAGAAGGUUACCUAGCACAUAAUAGGUGCUAAAUAAAUACUUGCCUGAGUAUUGCUUGCCCUGUGUA
Monodelphis domestica (gray short-tailed opossum) is the source of this 1776-nucleotide long non-coding RNA. The record is from Ensembl. Lineage: Eukaryota; Metazoa; Chordata; Mammalia; Didelphimorphia; Didelphidae.